This 510-nucleotide ribosomal RNA is filed under the name uncultured bacterium. RNAcentral's name for it is "partial 16S ribosomal RNA". It matches the Rfam family "Bacterial small subunit ribosomal RNA", at positions 28 to 507 of the family's 1533-position model. The record is from RNAcentral.
GACGAACGCUGGCGGCGUGCUUAACACAUGCAAGUCGAACGAAGAGCGAUGGAAGCUUGCUUCUAUCAAUCUUAGUGGCGAACGGGUGGGUAACGCGUAAUCAACCUGCCCUUCAGAGGGGGACAACAGUUGGAAACGACUGCUAAUACCGCAUACGAUCUAACCUCGGCAUCGAGGAUAGAUGAAAGGUGGCCUCUACAUGUAAGCUAUCACUGAAGGAGGGGAUUGCGUCUGAUUAGCUAGUUGGAGGGGUAACGGCCCACCAAGGCGAUGAUCAGUAGCCGGUCUGAGAGGAUGAACGGCCACAUUGGGACUGAGACACGGCCCAGACUCCUACGGGAGGCAGCAGUGGGGAAUCUUCCGCAAUGGACGAAAGUCUGACGGAGCAACGCCGCGUGAGUGAUGACGGCCUUCGGGUUGUAAAGCUCUGUUAAUCGGGACGAAAGGCCUUCUUGCGAAUAGUGAGAAGGAUUGACGGUACCGGAAUAGAAAGCCACGGCUAACUACGUG